CAUCGUUGUAUAUCCUAGUUGUAAGUCAGUCUAGUUCUAUGCCGGACACCGUCACAGCAUGGCUUGACGCGGGGUGUGUAGAUCGACACCCCGGAUCCGAAUGGGGGAACCCUGGGUCACCGAAUUGGGGCACGCGAACUGAACCACUCGGCCGUAGGGCCGGCCCCCAGUGCUAACAAUUUAGGUAUCUUCUCCACUCUUACACCAAACUCCGGGCUGACCAGGUUUUUGUAAAAUACUUGUAACAGUAAUACACGGAUGAAAUAUUAUUCAGCAAUAAAGAGCAAUGAAGUACAUGCAACCACAUGGACGGACCUUGAAAACGUUAUGCCAAACGAAAGAAGCCCCUCACGAAAGACCAUGGAUGAUAUGAUUUUAUCUACUUGAAGUGUUGGAAUAGGCAAAUCCACAGAGAAUGAAAGAUGCCGGGAACUGGGGGAGAGAGGAAGGGGGAGUGACCGCUAAUGGGGGCCCGGCUUCUUUUCGGAGUGAACAAGAUGUUCUGGAAUUGGAUAGUGAUGAUGUAGCACAAUCCUGUGAAUACACUAAAAACACUGCAUUGAACACUUCAAAAGGGUGAAUUUUAUGGUAAGUAAAUUAAGUCUCAAUAAAGGUGUCAUUUUUAAAAAGCUGUACAGGGUUAUUAUAUGACUCAAACAGUGCCAAAAGAGUAAAAAGAAGGAAUGAAAAGUCUUGAAUCUCACCCCUAGAGAUAACAACUGACAGCCUAACGGUGUGUUCUCUGUGCACACAGACAGACAGACAGACAGUCACUCACAAGCUUUUUUGAGAUGAAACGUCUGAAGACCAUGACACACUCCCUCAGGAAGCUGAGCUGACGUCAGGCCCAGAGCUGGCCCAGAAGCGUGCUCAGCUCAGGGUUACGUCGGGGUGGGGCUGUGACGAUGGCAAGAUGCUCUCUGGUUUAAACACCCACCGGCAAUUCUAACGUACUGAAGAGUCACCGGGAAGCUGACACAAAUGGCAUCACGUUAUGGGUGCUCUGCUGUCGCCCGCUUUCUUCAACCUUUUCCACUGGAUGCUGCGCCCCGGCAGCUCCCCGGGGUAACGCGUGGAGCCGCACUCCAACCUUUCAAUAACAGCAUUACAUUCCACCGCGUGGAUGCUGCGUGACUGACUUAACAGUCCCCUUGGGGACGUCAUCUCUUCUAGGAAGGCUUUGGGGCUGCCCGUGCCGGUGUGGGCGGCCUCCACCAUCUCUCCAAGAUCCCCGCGGAUUGCCCCCUGGGGGAAAGACCCCAGUGACCGUGGGGACCCUUCAAGGCGGGGCCUGUGUACCGACAGCUGCCUUUGCCUCCUCACCAGAACUCCAGGGCCCCAGCAGAGAGUAUAUGCUACUAGGUAAGUACUUAUUAAAUGAAUUAAUCAAUAAAGCGAGUACUUAAAGAGUGAAUCUGGCCCUGGAGCAGCUCUCAGAGAGCCUCUGAGGCUGUGAGUAAUAAGCCAUCUUCUCUCUUCACCUGGGUAAUCUUAGAAUUUAUGAAGCAUUUUCCUGUGCAUCACCUCCUUCUUUUUGCUUUUGUAAACAUCCAUUGAAUGUCAGUGGCUACGAAGGCGUGAUCCGCCCCCGUCUCGCAUUGACUGAACAGGGUCUGGCUUCCCCCGGCCUCAGCGUGAGCCCUGGACCGUCUCUGAGACUAUGCUCACCCCAGGGGGCCUAAAGAGUUGAGGCGGGUCUUCCCUGAAGGGGGGCCGCCAUCGGAAGUACCACCGCCAUGUUGUAACGUGAGUCCUGAGUGUCUAGACACCUAUCAGGCCCCAGAAACUGAGGAAGCCCAUAUUUUAAAAUCCUGGCCUUAUGGUGUUUCAGCGUCCCCAUGCCGAGACCCCCUGUCACUGCAGCCCCUCCAGUAUGACAAUGUGGGCCCGCAGCGCAGGGCUGGGCUGGGAGCCCCCGUCCGUCCGCUCUCGAGUGGUCCUUCCUGAGGACGGCCCGGAGGCACGCUCUUCCGGCAGCAGGUGGCGUGGUCCACAGACCGGCACUGGUCCACCGUUAAAAACUGUCACAACCACCUCACAGCAUCGUGUUGUGUCUGUUGAUGUGACAACAACAAACAGGCCUUAGAAUUUGUGGAUCCUUUCUUUUCUUUUCAUUUUUCUAGUAAUUUACUUUUAUCAUGUUUUGCAACAGUAUUAGAUUGGGAAGUCCAUUCAAAACUAAACAAACAGGUCCUUCAGCCCUCGUCGUCGGAGAGGCUCUGGUCUGGGGCACCCGGCUGGUGUCCAAGCUCCCCGGCUGGGCUGACACCUCGGCCUUAGGCAGUUACGGAAUCUCUGAGACUGUUCCGUUUCCUGGGAAGAAAAGGGGUCAUGACAGCACUUGCCCCAUAGGCUGUUGGGAGUAUUAGCUGAGAUACUGUAAGGGCAGUGCUCACACCCGGAAUAGUGAGCAAUGACCCUCCCUCCCUUCUGCUGGCCCCAGAAGGAUGUUUUCCGAGAGAGGAGCACGCAGUGGCAGACAGAGACGGGGCAAUAAUGGCUGCAGACGAGCCAGUGCAGGGCUCUCCAGGGUCAGGGAACAGCCGGGAGGGCCGGGGCUCCUUGCAGAGGGAGCAGAGCUGGGCGGAGCAGCUCAGCCUCCCGGGGCCUGGUGGGCGGAGGACUGCCUGACUCAGGUAGACCCAGAGCUCCUCCAGGGCAGACGCCCCGCUCAGGCGGCUCCUUAGGCUGGUCCCUCAUCCGCCACUCAGCUUCCUGGGGUCCCCUGUGGGAGGCCCGCAGCCUGCUGGGUGACUCCAGGCCCCCGGGGUGUCCGAGGUGCCAGGAGUCGGGGAGGCGCAGGAGAGAGAGCCGCAGGGCCGGACAGCAGUGGCCGUGGGCCGUGGACUCGGCAGAGCUGAGACCCGUGGGCUGAGAGCCAGGGCUGUCAGGGCAGCAGCCAGCCGCCUCCCCAGGUCUGGACACAGGCCCCCUGGACCUGCACACUGUGGGCUGCGGGAGGCGGCAGUGGGCCGCGGGCCAUGGACUCGGGGGAGACAAGCUGGGGGCAGAAGCAGAAACGAGGGACUAGGAAACUCUGUGGGUCCUGGACAAUGUGACAGGAUCAAACCCCUGACGAUCCCCGGAUGGAGGGACCCUGCACUCGGGGCGGUGAGGAACCCCCAGCCCCAGGCUCCCAGAGCCCAGUCUCAGCGUCCACUUAGAGGAAAUGGGGGAAGUUUGCCCCAAAGCCCUGUGGAGGAAACCAUCACCACGGUGUACUCAGGUCUUUGACAAAAGGCAGGUGAAGACGGAGCGCAGACUUCAGUUUCCCUCUGGGAAAUGCCCACUGAGGACCAAGAGCCUUCAGUCCUCCUGCCCCUGGCGACUUGGAUGAAGCACUCCCUGGCAAGGGGGCCCUCCUGGAGGCAUCACAUCCUCUUGGAGUUGGCUGAGAAUCCCUGGCCCACGGCGGGAAGAGCCUGGCACCAGCGCUGCCCUGGAAGGAGCGGCACUUGCUCCCCAAGGGCCUGACCACCUGCCAGCCCUGCUGCCCACACCCCGCCCCCUAGCGCUCUCCCAACCUGCCCUACAGGUGUGUCUGGCUCCCGGCCAGCGGGGCCGGUGCCCAGCUCAUUUACGGGAAGGAAGGAUGUAAACAGAGGACAAGGGGCGGGUGGAGGACAAAGGCGACCUGGGCCUUUGUUUGUAUCUCACUCGGUCGGAGGCUGCUCACCUCACACCCCAGGGGGGCUGGCACCAGGGACCUGAGGACCUGCCCACCCAGGGGCAGCACCAGGGCCCCAGGCCGCCCCCUGUGCCCUCCACGAUUCCCCCUCCUGGGGCUGCCCUUGGCCCACCCGUUCUCUCUCAGCCCUGUCUGUGCCCCAAGCAAGGCCCUGCCGCUCAGCCCACGGCCAGGACCUGGCUGAGGAUGCGCUGAGUCAUUGGCCAGAGUUUGCCACGUGGCUGCUCCGGGGGUGGGAUGCACCUUAGUUUCAUUUUCCUACUUCAAGGAGCUGAGGGAGAAAGAGGGUGAAGGCUGAGGACACGCGAGAGGGCCUCAGCGCCCGUCAGCUGGGAGCCCGCUGCACCGAGGAGGGCCACACACCAGCCUCUCAGGGCUGGUCCAUCUGAGGUGCUUGUGGGGGCCUGGGCCACUCAGGACAUUCAAAAACCCCACGCAGCCCACAAACACUGGCCCACGGCACACUGUGUUCCAGGGAUCUUCCAGCACCCGGGGGACAUGAGUGAACAAAACAGAGACCCUGGCCUGUCCACCUUCACCUCCACUCUGGUGGGUGAGAGCCGGGCAGUGAGGGCAACGUGUGAAUAGAUUGUACUCCAGAGAGGAGUCAGUGCCCAGGGGGAAGAUGAGGCCGAGAGGGUUGGGGAGUUUGCCAGGGCCUCCCCGAGGAGAGGUAAUUUGCAUAAAGACUGAAGGCAUCCAAGGGGGAUCCUGACAGACCUCAGGGGGAGCAGGGGAAGCAGGCCGCAGACGGCCCCACCACCAGGGCCUUGGAGGGGCUCCAGGUGAAUGCAUCAGAGGAGCCUGGGAGGUUCUGAGCAGAGGAGGGUCACGAACUGAGCCAGGAUUGACCAGGACUGCCCCGGCUGCUGGGUUAGGAAAGUACAUGUAUAUUAUUACAUAUUGUAUAUUAUUAUCUCUGUUAUAGUAUGUCUAGCAUUAAUAUAUUAUUAUUAAUGUUA
Molecule: non-coding RNA, 4650 nt
Organism: Equus caballus (horse)
Lineage: Eukaryota; Metazoa; Chordata; Mammalia; Perissodactyla; Equidae
Source: RefSeq, a predicted model, not a curated record